UACCGGAUAGGCAAUUAUUCCUGUAAUGGUUUUUUGUUUAAAUGUUUUUUCGCCUAAGGAUGGGUCUGCGGCCGAUUAGGUAGUUGGUUAGGUAAUGGCUUACCAAGCCUUUGAUCGGUACGGGUUGUGAGAGCAAGAGCCCGGAGAUGGAACCUGAGACAAGGUUCCAGGCCCUACGGGGUGCAGCAGGCGCGAAACCUCCGCAAUGUGAGAAAUCGCGACGGGGGGAUCCCAAGUGCCAUUCUUAACGGGAUGGCUUUUCAUUAGUGUAAAGAGCUUUUGGAAUAAGAGCUGGGCAAGACCGGUGCCAGCAG
Molecule: ribosomal RNA, 314 nt
Filed under: uncultured Methanobrevibacter sp.
Lineage: Archaea; Methanobacteriati; Methanobacteriota; Methanobacteria; Methanobacteriales; Methanobacteriaceae
Description: bacterial SSU rRNA
Rfam family: Archaeal small subunit ribosomal RNA
Source: RNAcentral